CCAUGACAGAUUAAAGGGGCCACUGUAAUGUCUCUGACCAGGCAAGCCCAUUAAUAAAUAAUGACGAGCUACCCAUCAAGCCUCUUGAGAUGUCUGGUUCUUCCCCAUCAUUGCCGCCCUCCCAGCGGGGUACAGCUGCUGCAUUAUUAAUGAGACGAGAGCGGGAGGUGUCCAGCUGGGGCCUGAGCCUGCGUUGGACACACCCGAACCCGUUACACCCGUCAUGUUGAGGGACUAAAGUCUUUGUGUGAUCUGGCAGACAGCCUGAAUCCCCUAAGGUGCUGGACUGUGUCUCCCCCUGCAGGAUGAAAAGGGAAACGAUAAAAAGGGAUUAAACUCAUCUCUGUGGAAAUUGUAUUUACAUUGGGAGCAAAGCAGACUGAUUUUAUUCUACAAAAAAGGUUAAUGGUAAACUGCACAUAUCUGCAUGUUUAAAUACAUAUUUAUUAAUAGCAGCGCCAAAAAUGCAUCUAACGUGUCAGUAUACGUAGGCUUUUGUUUAAACAACCAACAGCACAAUGUUAUUUUUCAGUCACUCAAGAUAUAUUCGCAUCCUUCAGCCAGGAAAAACAUAAAAGCUACAUCCUUACUUCAAUUACAAUUUAAGUUGGAGCCAGAGUUUCCUCCUGGACAGAAGAGGGGGCUGUUUGUCGCGAGCUUCACGCUCACUCAGCCGCCAUAAUGAGACCCGUUUGUGAGUUUUGAGUGGAGCGUCAGGCUGCAGAUUAAAAACAGAAAUUUAACAGCGGCUGAUGAUUGUACGGACUACGUCUGAUGCCGGAACACAGUUGUGUAGCGAAGACAAACACAACUCUACACCAGCCACAGUUUUGUCGUCUAAUUCCAUCAUUUUAGCUGCAAGGUUUCAGAAAUUAAGUAUAAAAAAGAAAGAAACGCUUGCUAUGUCUGGUGAAACCAACUUUGUGACCAACAAAGCCUCUUAGGGGUAAUAGAGUUACUCCGAGGAAUGUAAAACUACCCGUGGGUUUUUUUUUUAUUUAAGAUUUGCUCCACUAUUAACAAAUAUCACAAGUUCUGCCAAUGCCACAAUUGAGUGCUGCAUAUUUGCGGCAACCACUGGCCGCUUACCAGCAACCACACUUCCUUCUGGAUUUGCAUUUAGGAAAUUUAGAAAAGAUUUUUUGCAAAGUAGUACGUGACUGCGGUUUGUUCUAGAGAAACACGUAAUCGGAGCCAUAACAGACCAAAAUGAAACUUCUCCUUUCCAUUUUUAAAGGCCGUGAGGAUCAGGACCAGAUGUGGGAGCAGACUUUGAAAGAGUGAGAACUCAUUAAGCCUUUUUUUUAGCUGAACUUGGAAUAUUGUGCAAGAGCACGUGAGAGCAACGCUGCUACCUGUGAGUGAGACAUCAAAGAGCACUGCAGCUGCUAAUGACAGGCCCGUGCAUGCCUCAGUUCCUAAAUUAGCCAGCACAGCUAAUUAUCCCCCAAAAAGUACAGACCGUCAAGCAGAAAAAUGCAUCUAAAGCUCAUUUUUAUCUGAGAACCCCCCCCCACACCCUUCUCCCAAUGGGAUCAAUUGGUUGCCCUGCUUUUGACAUUCAUCGAUCAGUAGGAUUUCUUCAGGAACAUUUGGUCUAG
This is a long non-coding RNA of Gasterosteus aculeatus aculeatus (three-spined stickleback), 1601 nucleotides long. The record is from Ensembl. Lineage: Eukaryota; Metazoa; Chordata; Actinopteri; Perciformes; Gasterosteidae.